Molecule: ribosomal RNA, 274 nt
Filed under: uncultured bacterium
Lineage: Bacteria
Description: partial 16S ribosomal RNA
Rfam family: Bacterial small subunit ribosomal RNA
Source: RNAcentral
AUACGGAGGGUGCAAGCGUUACUCGGAAUCACUGGGCGUAAAGGACGCGUAGGCGGCUUCAUAAGUCAGGUGUGAAAGCCCACGGCUCAACCGUGGAACUGCACUUGAAACUGUGAUGCUAGAGUCUGGGAGAGGCAGUUGGAAUUGGUGGUGUAGGGGUAAAAUCCGUAGAGAUCACCAGGAAUAACGAUGGCGAAGGCGAUCUGCUGGAACAGUACUGACGCUGAGGCGUGAAAGCGUGGGGAGCAAACAGGAUUAGAAACCCUAGUAGUCC